Molecule: long non-coding RNA, 335 nt
Filed under: Rattus norvegicus (Norway rat)
Lineage: Eukaryota; Metazoa; Chordata; Mammalia; Rodentia; Muridae
Description: long non-coding RNA NONRATT011423
Source: RNAcentral
CUGUGGCUGGCGCCGAGGGGGAGUGGGCGCCGUGGGGUCGGGGUGGUGGUGUCUGCACGACUCUCGGACUUGGUUUGAGGGAAGGAGAGGCAGCCAUGGCUUCCAAGCGCAUCACCCAGGAAACCUUUGAUGCUGCAGUGAGGGAGAACAUUGAGGAGUUUGAGAUGGGCGCUGAGGAGGCCAUUCGAGAGGCUGUGGAGCAGUUUGAAUCGCAAGGGGUUGAUCUGAGCAACAUUGUGAAGACAGUACCGAAAGUAUCCUUGGAUGGCCUCCAGGAGCCCACACAUGAUGUCCUACAGGUAGGAGCCAUGGUCUCCCAAUCACGGUGGAACAAU